UCUCUCUCUCUCUUUUGGAAUAAUAUUUUGCAUAUAGAGGAUCAACAAAGCAUGGGGUGAGUCUUACCUUCUUUGACGACUAGAGAAAACAAGCUUGGAGGAUGGCUUAGGUUUAGUGUUGGGUAUUUAUUGUAUGUUUUUCUCCUAGUUUUUCCUCUAUUUUUUCCAUCCUCGGCCCUUUCAAUCGGAUAGGAGUCCUGGAUUUAAAUUGCAUG
RNAcentral lists this long non-coding RNA (215 nucleotides) under Elaeis guineensis (African oil palm). RNAcentral describes it as "long non-coding RNA (EGUI_LNC031157)". The record is from RNAcentral. Lineage: Eukaryota; Viridiplantae; Streptophyta; Magnoliopsida; Arecales; Arecaceae.